This 553-nucleotide ribosomal RNA is filed under the name uncultured Cryptococcus. RNAcentral describes it as "eukaryotic LSU rRNA". The stretch from base 177 to 330 matches the Rfam family "5.8S ribosomal RNA". The record is from RNAcentral. Lineage: Eukaryota; Fungi; Basidiomycota; Tremellomycetes.
CUUGGUCAUUUAGAGGAAGUAAAAGUCGUAACAAGGUUUCCGUAGGUGAACCUGCGGAAGGAUCAUUAGUGAACGCCCUCACGGGCUUAUAACUAUUCCAAACCUCUGUGAACCGUGCCCUUCGGGGCUAUUUUACAAACAUGGUGUAAUGAACGUCAUAUAUCAUAACAAAACAAAACUUUCAACAACGGAUCUCUUGGCUCUCGCAUCGAUGAAGAACGCAGCGAAAUGCGAUAAGUAAUGUGAAUUGCAGAAUUCAGUGAAUCAUCGAAUCUUUGAACGCACCUUGCGCCCUCUGGUAUUCCGGAGGGCAUGCCUGUUUGAGUGUCAUGUAGACUCAAUCCCUCGGGUUUCCGAGGAGAUUGGACUUGGGUGUUGCCGCUCUGCCGGCUCGCCUUAAAAGACUUAGCGGGAUAGCACCGUAGUCGGCGUAAUAAGUUUCGUCGGUGAAGGUUGUGAUGACUGCUUACAAUCGCCCUCGGGCAAUUUUUGACUCUGACCUCAAAUCAGGUAGGACUACCUGCUGAACUUAAGCAUAUCAAUAAGCGGAGGA